GGACGGGUGAGUAACACGUGGGCAACCUGCCUGUAAGACUGGGAUAACUUCGGGAAACCGGAGCUAAUACCGGAUAAUCCUUUUCCUCUCAUGAGGAAAAGCUGAAAGACGGUUUACGCUGUCACUUACAGAUGGGCCCGCGGCGCAUUAGCUAGUUGGUGAGGUAACGGCUCACCAAGGCGACGAUGCGUAGCCGACCUGAGAGGGUGAUCGGCCACACUGGGACUGAGACACGGCCCAGACUCCUACGGGAGGCAGCAGUAGGGAAUCUUCCGCAAUGGACGAAAGUCUGACGGAGCAACGCCGCGUGAGUGAUGAAGGUUUUCGGAUCGUAAAACUCUGUUGUUAGGGAAGAACAAGUACAAGAGUAACUGCUUGUACCUUGACGGUACCUAACCAGAAAGCCACGGCUAACUACGUGCCAGCAGCCGCGGUAAUACGUAGGUGGCAAGCGUUGUCCGGAAUUAUUGGGCG
RNAcentral lists this ribosomal RNA (474 nucleotides) under Bacillus sp. NN30. RNAcentral's name for it is "bacterial SSU rRNA". It matches the Rfam family "Bacterial small subunit ribosomal RNA", at positions 100 to 560 of the family's 1533-position model. The record is from RNAcentral. Lineage: Bacteria; Bacillati; Bacillota; Bacilli; Caryophanales; Bacillaceae. RNAcentral also lists the same sequence under 1 other name.